This 497-nucleotide ribosomal RNA is filed under the name uncultured bacterium. RNAcentral describes it as "partial 16S ribosomal RNA". It matches the Rfam family "Bacterial small subunit ribosomal RNA", at positions 28 to 507 of the family's 1533-position model. The record is from RNAcentral.
GAUGAACGCUGGCGGCGUGCCUAAUACAUGCAAGUCGAGCGAACAGACGAGGAGCUUGCUCCUCUGACGUUAGCGGCGGACGGGUGAGUAACACGUGGAUAACCUACCUAUAAGACUGGGAUAACUUCGGGAAACCGGAGCUAAUACCGGAUAAUAUAUUGAACCGCAUGGUUCAAUAGCGAAAGACGGUUUUGCUGUCACUUAUAGAUGGAUCCGCGCCGCAUUAGCUAGUUGGUAAGGUAACGGCUUACCAAGGCAACGAUGCGUAGCCGACCUGAGAGGGUGAUCGGCCACACUGGAACUGAGACACGGUCCAGACUCCUACGGGAGGCAGCAGUAGGGAAUCUUCCGCAAUGGGCGAAAGCCUGACGGAGCAACGCCGCGUGAGUGAUGAAGGACUUCGGAUCGUAAAACUCUGUUAUUAGGGAAGAACAAAUGUGUAAGUAACUAUGCACGUCUUGACGGUACCUAAUCAGAAAGCCACGGCUAACUACGUG